UUAUCUUCUUUUUUAUUGUCGUAUAGGAGCAAAAUUUAUAAUACUAAUUGUAUGUAAAAUUUAAUUAUUUGUAAACUUUUAAGUCUUGAUAGUUUUAAUCAGCAAAUUAAGAUAAAUAUUAAACACUAUAUGCUAUAUGCUAAUUAUUUCAUAUCCCUUAAAUUAUAAUUCAUUAUCUUAAAAUUGAUUUUUUUUAAUUACCCACUGUUGCUGAUUAUCAUGUGAAAAAAAUUGUCAUUUUAGGCCUUCUUAUUUUAGAGUGAAUUUUAUUUUAUUUAUAUAUUGGAUAAUCAUAUAACAAAAUGCAUUUACAUUGGGUAAUAUAUUUUCAUCUGAACACAUACAAUAUAUGCAUUUUGAUUUUAUGUAAUUUUUGUUUCUAAAUCCAUUAGAGGAAAUUAUUUCAGAAAAUCCUAUGAUAAAUGUUGAUUGGUAUGAUCCUUCCGGGACUAGAUUUAAGAUGCGACCAACACUUGGUUUGCGUAGGUCUCAUCCUCCUAAUUCUCAUUAUUUUCGUUCGUGGUCGGAACGAGUUAAUGUUUGGCCUGAUCGUUUUUUUGGCUCGCCAAAAAAUAAGCACAACUCCGCCUCUUCUCCACCACACUCUCCACCAACUAAAAUGGAUCACCAUACUCACUCACUUGCAUUCCAUUACAAUGGCGGUUUUAUAUCAGGUAAGAGAAGUCCGUGAUUCAAAAUCGUACGGGUCGGUUUCAUCAUCCUCGUCCUUGGGCGGACCAUUCCGAUCCUUGGCCCGGUCAUACUUCAAAAAAGCCGGCUCUUCAACCGCGACCCAAGAAGAAUAAGCGGCGGCCUCUUCCGCCAACUAAUUAAUAAAAUUAACGGAAUUAUUUAGUAAUAAAAAAUAAUUAAAAUUUGUUUUAUUUAAUAUUUAUUAAUUAAAGAAAUAUUAGGGGAUCAGUAACUUUUAUGAUUUGUAGCUAUCAAAUAGUCAUCAAUGAUAGUUUCAAUAGUGCGAGAUUGGUGUGAGAUUUCAUCUAAUGACUCACUUUUUUUUUUGCUGGUUACAUGCUGAUUAGAAUUUAACAAAAUUACUAACCCCUAUACUUUUCCUUACCGUAAAAUGAAUUACUAUGCCUAAUAGUCAUCAAUAUUCAUUAAUUAUUAUAACAAUUAAUGAAUAAGAUAAAUUUUUACUAUUUUUUUUUGUUAACAUAACAUUACCGUAAAAUGAAUCACUAUGCCCAACUUGUUGGCUACCAAUGUAAGACAUUAAUAUUUCAAAGUUUUAAUUACUAUGGAGUUCUUUAUGAUUUUAUUAGUAUUAAAUAGAAGAUUUUUAUCCUGGUAUAAUUGUUG
This is a non-coding RNA of Arachis ipaensis, 1320 nucleotides long. The record is from RefSeq and is a predicted model, not a curated record. Lineage: Eukaryota; Viridiplantae; Streptophyta; Magnoliopsida; Fabales; Fabaceae.